UUCUUCCUCGAAGACAAACGGCAAUGUAAUGUAAUAACGAAAAUCCCUUCCGAGAUCUGAGGCAGCGGCCAAUCACCGUUGACGACCAAUUGCCGAAGCCGUCCCUUCUUCUUCUCCGGCUUCCUCUUCCUCCUCCUCUUCUCAGGGAGAGGGGAGGGAAAAAGAAGGAUGUCAUCUUGGGAUCCAAUCAACCUGGCCGUCCAUGUGGCCCGCGGACGCUGGUUCACCCUCUUCGCCUCCUUCCUCAUCAUGACUGCCUCCGGCGCCACCUACAUCUUCUCCGCCUACUCCGCCGCCAUCAAGUCCUCCCUCGCCUACGACCAACGCACCCUCAACACCAUCUCCUUCUUCAAGGACCUCGGUUCCAGCGUCGGCGUCCUCCCCGGCCUCGUCAACGAAGUCGCCCCGCCCUCCGUCGUCCUCGCCACCGGCGCUGCCAUGAACUUCUUCGGUUACCUCAUGAUCUACCUCGCCAUCACUGGCCGCACGCCUCGCCCCCGCCUCUGGCAGAUGUGCCUCUACAUCUGCGUGGGCGCCAACUCGCAGGCCUUCGCCAACACCGGCGCCCUCGUCGCCUGCGUCCGCAACUUCCCCGAUAGCCGCGGCGCCGUGCUCGGCCUCCUCAAGGGCUUCGUCGGCCUCAGCGGCGCGAUCUUCACCCAGCUCUACCUCGCCUUCUACGGCCACGGCGGUGACCCUAGGUCGCUCGUCCUCCUCGUUGCCUGGCUCCCCGCCGCCGUCUCCCUCGUCUUCCUGCACACCAUCCGCUACAUGAAGCCUCCUCCUCAUCGUCAUCAAUCCCACGAGUUCAAGGUCCUGUGCUCCUUGCUCUACAUCACCCUCGCUCUCGCCGGAUUCCUCAUGGCCGUGAUCAUCCUGCAAAGCCGCUUCGAGUUCUCCCAGCGCGCUUACACGGCCGGCUCUGUCGUCGUCCUCAUCCUCCUCUUCCUCCCUCUCGUCGUGGUCGCGAGAGAGGAGGCAUCGAAUUGGAAGCGCGGCAAGCCACCUAUCGGAGGUCCUCCGCUGGAAUCCAAACCGAUCGAUCCGAAAGCAUCGAUCACAACACCAAAGAAAAACUCAGUUACAUCUUCCUCAGCCCUAGCCGACGUCUUCAGGACCCCAAAGAGAGGCGAGGACUACUCCAUCCUGCAAGCCAUCGCGAGCGUCGACAUGCUCAUCAUCGUCAUCGCCACCAUCUGCGGCGUUGGCGGAACCCUGACCGCCAUCGACAACAUGGGCCAGAUCGGCCAGUCCCUCGGCUACGAUGCCCAGAGCGUUGCCACCCUGGUCUCCCUUAUCAGCAUCUGGAACUACGCCGGCCGCGUCGUCGCGGGGUUCGCCUCCGAGAUCCUGCUAGUCAAGUACAGGCUUCCCCGCCCCCUUCUGCUCACUCUGGUCUUCCUCCUAUCCUGCGCCGGCCACCUCCUCAUCGCCUUCGGGAGCAUCCCGGCCUCGCUAUACGCCGCAUCGGUGAUCACCGGAUUCUGCUUCGGGGCGCAGGUGCCGCUGUUCUUCGCCAUCAUAUCGGAGGUGUUCGGGCUGAAGCACUACUCGACGCUGCACAACUUCGGCGGCGCAGCGAGCCCUAUCGGGUCAUACAUACUGAACGUGAAGGUGGCCGGGCAGUUGUACGACCGCGCGGCUGUGCGGCAGAACGCUGUCGGCAACAUGUCAAACUCUUCCUUUUCCUCUUCUUCCUCGGAGUCAUCGUUGGCGACAUGCGUCGGAGAGGAGUGCUUCAAGCUUUCAUUCAUCAUCAUUACGGCGGUGACCAUGGCAGGGGCUGCGGUGAUGCUGGUGUUGGUUUGGAGGACAUGGGAAUUCUAUAGAGGAGAUAUAUAUAGCAGGCACAGAGGAGGAGGAGAGGCAAAGAAGGAAUUGGAGGUGAAAGAGGAGGAGAUGGUGCCAAUGCUUGAGCAAAGGCUUGACUGAGAGAUGCAUACACAAUAAAUUGAAAGAGAAUUGCUGGAGAAAUAGAACAACAGGACAAGAGUUUCUAAGAGUCUUAGGUUUCAAGCUCCAAAUUUGGCCAUUAAAUUCAAAAGCAACUUGAAUUCCAAACCCCUUUUGGAGGGAAACCAACCUCAAGAGGUGGCUCAGAAGGUGCACAAAAAGGUAGUAGUCCCUUGAGGCAAGACAAGGAUGAAGCAUGCACAAGACUUCCAAUAGGUUAUUCAAUUGCAUGGAGAACA
Molecule: RNA transcript, 2192 nt
Organism: Musa acuminata AAA Group (dessert banana)
Lineage: Eukaryota; Viridiplantae; Streptophyta; Magnoliopsida; Zingiberales; Musaceae
Gene name: protein NUCLEAR FUSION DEFECTIVE 4-like
Exons: 2
Source: RefSeq, a predicted model, not a curated record